UUUCCGUAGGUGAACCUGCGGAAGGAUCAUUAUUGUAUAACCGAGGUGCGAGGGCUGUCGCUGACCCGAAAGGUCGUGCACGCACGAGUGCCCUCACACACAUACAUCUCACCCCUUUUUGCAUCGCCGCCUGGGUCCCCCUUUGGCUUGUUCGGAGGGGGGCUUACGUUUUCACACAAACUUUGUAUGCAGUGUAGAAUGUAUUUUUUGUUUUUGCGAUCACGCAAUCAAUACAACUUUCAACAACGGAUCUCUUGGCUCUC
This 263-nucleotide unclassified non-coding RNA is filed under the name plant metagenome. RNAcentral's name for it is "partial contains small subunit ribosomal RNA, internal transcribed spacer 1, and 5.8S ribosomal RNA". The record is from RNAcentral.